GCUGUAACCUGCAUCCUCCUUCAAGGUACUGCGGGAAGACUCUAGUAUCGCGAGAUGCCGCUGAGCCAGAUUAGGGGCGUUAACCGGCAACGGGUUCCCAGAACCCUUAGCGAAAUUUUAAUUCCCUAACUGCGCAUGUCGCAGCGCAGGCGCAAUAGACAUUUCUUUACUGCCGCUGGCUCCAGGAGCUAUAAAUACCGAUGCCUUUGCGUUCUGUGGUCUUUUUGGGAGAGACUCUCGUCGUGCUUUAGUGUUUCUAGCAUUUUGUUUGGGAUUCCAAAUACAACUGGAUUUGAGGUGAGUAGAUCUAGGAAUUGCUUUUGGCCUGUCGGUGUUUGCUAAUUUUGUUCCACGAAAUUGAUUUUCACGUCUUUAAUAUUCGUGAUAGAGAAGAUUUUUAUAUUGCAAAAGGACUAAUUUUGACAAAGUGAUUAAACCAAAGUUCGCAAAGUUUUCAUGCGUGAGCUGUGUGUGUAAUGUGUGUAUCUGCUCAGUCCGGGAGAACUCAGGAUUCGGGUCUAUGAUAUUAGAAGUGAAAUUGGGCAUAUGCUUCAGCAUACUUGUGAAAGUAACUAAUAGAUAAAGCAUAAAAUAGUCAGUAGCUAACAAGAACUUGGAGUUUGUGAGAAGCAAUUUAAAAUCCUAUGGACUUUGACAUGGUUCAAGUAUAGGUGUGAAGGGAUGAAGAUAAAGGGAAAUGUAAUGUAAUCUCUAAAAUAGUGGUACAUUAAGUCUGCUACAUACCAACCUUUCUGUGAGAAGUGUUGUAGACUUAUUACAUGGCAUUACAAUAAUAACCAGUUUCAUGGUACUGUAUGGCCCAUUGUGUUAGCUGAGUGCCUAGGCUAACUUUGGUUUCGUAUUCUGAUACUGUUCAGAUAUCCCAACGUGGAUACCCCGGGAGGUCACUCUCCCCGGGCUCUGUCCAGGUGGCGAACGGGAGCGUAGGGCUCUGCUCAGUGACGUACAGUCCCUUUCCACAACGUUGGAGAUGAAGCUGGGCCUUGAGUCUGCGCCUGCAUAUUCCUACAGCUUCUCAGAGUCCUCUGGACAAUGACUGAGGAGACAAACCAUGCAGGAAACAUCUAGUAUACAAAAAUUUUAACGGGGAACUAAGAUUGUAUAAAUGAA
RNAcentral lists this long non-coding RNA (1131 nucleotides) under Bos mutus (wild yak). Its description in RNAcentral is "lncRNA (ENSBMUG00000017799.1)". The stretch from base 884 to 1087 matches the Rfam family "Small nucleolar RNA SNORA73 family". The record is from RNAcentral. Lineage: Eukaryota; Metazoa; Chordata; Mammalia; Artiodactyla; Bovidae.